AGUGGGUUGGUCAAAAAUUUCAAUAAGAUCCAAUAAGAUCUUACAGGAAAACCCUAAUGAACUUUUUGGCCAACCCAAU
RNAcentral lists this microRNA precursor (79 nucleotides) under Ovis aries (sheep). RNAcentral describes it as "miRNA (ENSOARG00000024910.1)". The record is from RNAcentral. Lineage: Eukaryota; Metazoa; Chordata; Mammalia; Artiodactyla; Bovidae.